GGAACAUUAGAUACAUUUCUCAAGACUUUAUUCCUAACUUGAAACAAGUAAACAGAAAUUUCAACUUUCAACAACAUUUAUCAUGAAAAGUACAGCAUGGAGCCACUCCAACAUGCUAAGGUACAAAUACAUGCACAAGACCAGUAAGACUUUGUCAGAUUUCACAAACAAAUAUAGCAGUAUUCACAAAGCUUCCAUUAAGAUUGUAAGGAGUCAUGAGGUGAUCUCAAAAACAAGCUUUCAACAACAUUUCCCAAAAUUUGAGCAAUAUGGUAGAACAAAUCAUGCAUCCCAGUUAC
This 299-nucleotide unclassified non-coding RNA is filed under the name Hevea brasiliensis (rubber tree). The record is from RNAcentral. Lineage: Eukaryota; Viridiplantae; Streptophyta; Magnoliopsida; Malpighiales; Euphorbiaceae.